Non-coding RNA from Xyrichtys novacula (pearly razorfish), 562 nucleotides. The record is from the annotation of a GenBank genome assembly. NCBI's taxonomy places the organism in Eukaryota, Metazoa, Chordata, Actinopteri, Labriformes, Labridae.
AUAAAAGAUCCUGUUAGUCAGACUGAUGAGUGAUCUACUCAACAAUCAUGAUUUUAAAAUCACUGUCAAUAAUCAUGAUCAUGAAGUUUUCUAUAAUAGAUCAGUCUGAAUGUUGGUGAAGAUGAUGAUGAUGAUGAUGAUGAUGAUGAUGAUGAUGAUGAUGAGAGUCAAAGUGACGCAGCUUUGAGUCUGAGUGUGAGGUCAGUGUUCAACACACACACACACACACACACACAUACACACACACACACACACACACACACACACACACACACACACACACACACACACACACACACACACACACACACACACACACACACCCUGUACAGUUAAUCUUCAUCCUUAUUUUAAUCCAUCUGGGCUCAUUAGUUCACUCUCUCUCCUCUCUCCUCCCUGAUCCUCACUCCUCUUCCUUUGUUUCCUCCUCUCUCCUCCUCCUCUCUCUCCUCACUCCUCUCUCCUCUCUCCUCCUCUCUCCUCCUUCUCCUCCUCCUGGUCUUUGGAGGUUAGACUCUCCUUAAACUCACCCUCAGAAAAGAGAAGCUGAGUCUGAAGAAAC